UCUCCUCUUUCUUAAUCUAUAAUAAUAAUGUUUAACCUAGCUGUCACAAGAAAUGUUCAAAUGAAUCUUGGAAAUACCCUGCAUGAUAACCUGCCUGAAGAUCAACAAAUUUCGACAUUAGUUUCUCUUACAUGUGCCUUAAAAAUAUAACUGUGUAGGCGAUUUUAAAUAAUUGGUAAGGAGUGAUGAUGAUUCAAAAACCACAAACUAGGCAGAAAAUCUGGUGCAUUUAUUGAAAACAAAGUAGAGAAGUUUCAGUUUGUCACUCUUAUGGACGCGCUCGGAUGGUUCGUAAUUGGCUCAGAAGGAUAUGCAGUAAGAGCCGAGUCGGACGACGAGAAUUUUGUCAUUUACCUCACUGAUAUGACUUCAAUUUGGUGUGAACGACAAACAGCUACUGAGAUUAUGAAACGGUGUCAGGAAUUAAACCCUUUAAUCGAGUCGACAGUAAAACAUCUGAUCCAACAACUUCGCACAUUGCUAAAUAGCUAUUCGCAGAGUAAUAGUCUAACGAUAGUUUCAGUUGAUCAAAACAUCACGUUGAAACUAGAAUCUCACUUGGACGGUAAUCUACCCUUUUCUUGGGAAUUUCAUUUGACUUUGGAAACCGCUGAUCAGUUUCAAUCUUUUAUAAUUCGUCCAUUGUUGGCAAUGCUUAAAGAAGCAGCUUGCGUUGAAGAAGAGCUUUGCAACAUCAUCCGAAGCAAAGAUAAGCAAAUUGACGACUACAAAGCUUCAGGUGCAACCGUAUCCCGCCGUCACUUGGAAACCAAAGAAUUCAAUGCGGAAACAUUCUUCGCUUCACGUAUAACGCGCACUAUUGAAGAGAGCGCCAAAGAAAAAAUUACAUCUCUGUUCUGUAGAGUUGUUGAUAGAUUAAAACAGUUGUAUUCGGUUGCUGUCGAAAGGAUUUAUUUCCAAAGUUCAAUAGCACGUCGCUCAGCUUUAACUGUUUCAGACGUAUCUGCCGAAUUGACAGAAGAGAUUCCGAACAGAGGACAAACUUCAACACAAUCACCAGCCAAAGUUAAAAGCCAAAUUAAAACCAUUAAAAUCAUCAUGAUUCCAACACAUUAUUUUUGUUCCAGGAGAGUGAAGAGAGUCGAUCAGAAGCCAUUAAAAAGCGAUUACGUGAAGAAGAACAGAAAGAGAUGGCCAAAAGAGCUAAAAAGGCGUGUUCAGCAAAAAUAUUGUAAAAUUCCUGCAUCUUACUCUUUGACACAGGUUUGUAAUUUUUUUAAGAAACUUGAUAAACUCAAACAAGGUGAUUAAUUUAAGUUGAAGUCGUUAAAGUCAAAAGAUUAGCCUUCAUGCUAUAAGAUUGAAGAAGAUGAGGUCCGUAGAGUAGCGAGUGCACAUCUCGAGUUGAAUUUAAUCGAGUCCUAAUGUUUCCAUUACAUUAUUUUACUGAUUUUGUUCCAAAAUGGACAUGCAUAUACGUGUCUUAAUAUCUUUGCUUGUACGUUUUGGAUGUAACUUCAAUUUACAACAUUAAAUAAUAAGCACACGAUGUCAGAAAGAAAUAGCAGAUCUAAUCUAGCAAUUCACAUCUAACAAGAGAUGUACGCUCAAGAUUUUCUGGGAGUGGAGUACUAAAGCGUAGUAGGGCGAUUUGUAAUCAUUGUAGUAAUUGAUUUCUCCUUCGUAUGUGACUUCGGCGACAUAACCAGAGUGACCAUCGACGUAGUAAUUCACGUGCUGUCGACGACCGUCAGGUAAGUCAACAUAGUAACUUCCUUUGGUGAAAUCUCCUUUGCGGCUUUCCUCAUGUCCAAAGUUUGCGUAAUGGUCCACGGCGUCAUAUUUGAAGUUGUAGUUCGCAAGAGCCUGGGGAUCCGUAAUAAAACAAUUUUAUUAAUUCCAUUCAAUUC
Daphnia pulicaria is the source of this 1871-nucleotide RNA transcript. It is a transcript of the gene named non-homologous end-joining factor 1-like, with no coding region annotated. The record is from RefSeq and is a predicted model, not a curated record. NCBI's taxonomy places the organism in Eukaryota, Metazoa, Arthropoda, Branchiopoda, Diplostraca, Daphniidae. The transcript has 7 exons.